AAAACCAGGGUGUAAGGAUGUGGGGAAAAGCCCCCAAAGGAGACACCAACAGAAAACAAAGCUCUGGUCUUGUAGGGUGGGUGUUACAAACACGGAGAGGUGGAUCAGAUGGAAGACUAGGGGCGUAUCAUGGGACCCAGCGAGUGGAAAGAGUCCUUAGGAAAGGAUGGUUCAGAAGAAGCUUGCUAUGUAGAAACUGCACUUACAAGUUGAACAAAAUCUACAGGGGAGGGCGAUUGGAUGUUCUUUCAGGGGAAGUGCCAUUCUAUGUCCUACCCAAUCAGACAGGGUGGAUAGCAGUGUUCCAAGGGACCUUCAAGGAAAUCAAUGACUCGAAAUAGAUCAAAUAACAUAAAAGUUUUGUGGAUCCCAUAGCCCAGAGGCUGCCCCUCCAGCCUUGGCAAUGAGAAGGCACUGCUUGGACUUGGUAAAAGGUACCCAGGAAACACCAGGAGUCCCACCCCACCCUGGCUGUUCUGCAGACAGCCUGCUUAGGGAAAUGUCUGAUUCUCCUGGCAAUCGGAAGCCCAGGGAUGUGUGAGAAUAUGUGGUCAGGAAUCCUGUGGCUCCCGGUGAUGCCUGACGCUGGAAGCAGAGGGAAGACAGAGACACCCAUGACAGCUAAAGGACCCAAGGUGGCAGCCCCCGAGAUAAAGGACAAGGUGGCCACAGUGACCCAGAGCAGUACCCAAAUAUUGCUGAGUUUUUUAACCUGAGCAGAGAUGUGUCUUUUUCUAUUUCUAUCAUGUGAAUUAUUUCAAUUCACCUUUUUUUGAGACGAAGUCUCACUAAGUUGCCCAGGCUGGCCUUGAACAUGUGAUCCCUCUGCCUCAGCUUCCCCAGCAGCUGGGAUUACAGGUGUGCUCUGCCAUGCCAGGCUCAACUGACUUUUAAUUACUGUGAAUUAAUCCAAAAGCUCCGGUGAGCUCCCAGUAAUAGGCGAUUUUCGCCUGGGUCUUUACAAAAUAGACAGCAUCGUGUCAUAGAAUGCUGCACAAGUGUUAAGACUCUCCAAGGGAGAGGUGCUAAGAAAGUGGGGCUGGGUCCUCAGCCCUCAGAAGAUUUCAACAGCAGUCUGUGGGGCUGGGAAAUCUUAAAGCUCAGGGGUCUUGAGUGACGUGACUCAGAGCAAUGACAUGACCUGCAUAUAUAUUGCAGCUGGGCUUCUGCUAGCUAGAUUUGAUGGCAGCCCUGAGUUAAAGCCAAGGGCCCCAGUGAGCGCCUCAGAUGCCCAUGCUUGGCUGCCCAUAGCUGGCCCAGGUCUGACUCCAGGUUUCCUACAGGUAGCAACCUAAACUAUUCAGGAUGCCCCUCCUCUGUCCUCAGUGAAUGCUUAAGGAACAACUUCCCUCCCAAGACUUGAGAACUCGGGGGCCCCAGCCUGCAUUUCUGUAGCAGCUGAGCUACAGAAAGAGGAAAUAUGAAGGGAACUUCUAAAAACUGCAACAUAUUUGUCAUACAGAUCAGAUAAGGCAUUUGCUCAUUCCAAAUCCCUGAAAAUCAAGGGCUACUCUUUCACAUUUUCCUGGACCAGUCAGGCAGCAAAGAGCUGAGGACCUUGGGAGCUCCAGGCUGUGAAUCACCAGGGACUCCCCCUGUCUCUCUGUUCAAGGCUGAAGUCAUCCACAUUACAUGAACAGGAGACCUCUUCACACUUAAGGCUUCCAUGAAAAAUGUUUGGGAGGACAAAUGACUUUUCAGCCUUAUGAGUUUGGUUGCAAAGCCUUCAUGAACUAUGAGGGGAAACAUAAAGCAAAAACAAAAACCUCCAAGUAAAUCAAUGCCUCAAAAUAGAUCAAAUAACAUGAAAAUAUUGAAUACAAGCAGGAGAUGCAUCCUAUUCUUUAGAGACAACCACAAAGGCAUGAUUUAUGCUCUCUUUACGGAAGUACUGCUAGGCUCCAAAUCAUGUCCCUCCUUAAUGAAGGACUAAUAACUUGUUUGGGCCACCAGCUUCCAAUCACAAAGACACCUCCAUCUAUGCAUGAUUUUAAGUGACUGAGCAUAGCGUCCAGCGUGUCAGUCUGAUGCCACCUGAAGUACCCAGCAUUGGCUAACGCUAAGGCUACAGAGAAACACAGUGAAAUGCCACAGAGCUCCAUGACUGUCUUGCUAUGGCUUUCCGUUUCCUUCCUGCUUCCUACUGCUCAGCCUGGCCCAGGACACACACCGAUUCAUCCUGUGUCUUCACACGUCUCAGUACAUGUCCUUUCCCAUCUGUCUGCCACACCUCCUUUGAGCCACCAUUCCUGAAAGCCCACUCCCUUCUCGGAGCAGUCCCGGGUCUCAGGGCUCUCUGAGGAUGAUGCAGCUCGAGGUGUUUGGAAGAAGAUACUAAGGGGAAUGAAAAGUCAUGACAGAUCCAAGAGGACUCAAGAAGAUUGUGGCCAAGGAAUGAAACCUGCAUCCUCAGAUAUGACUUCUCUUGGUUUUCUUUUCUUCCAGUGGUAUGGUUCUUUUGGAAACUUCUUGGCUGUCUUCAUUCACUUCUGUCUUUUAUCCACUUAGCAAAGAUGUUCUGAGCACCUACCGUGUUUCAGACAUUUUUUAGAGGCACCUCCACUGGUCAAAUGGGAACCACAGCUUCAUCAGAGAAGUGCACCUGCCCAAGGGAAAUCAGCAUGCACCCAACCCCCAGGUCCAAAGAAGACAACAGAUGAUUUGUCUACUGGGCCUCCCACCGAUCACCAGAUACCUUUUACCAAGCCAGGCAGCAGCUGUGCACUCAACAACUUGCUUUGUCCUGGUUUGUCCUUCAAGAUAGUUGGAUUUCAAUGAGUCACCUCCACCUGCUUCGCCUCUUCUCCACUCAUUUUCCAAAUGAAGACUUACUGCCAUUAAGCAGGUCAGUUGGGAACACAGUAUUUUGGGGCUUGGGCAGAGACUGGGUUUUGGUACCAGGUAGACUCUGGGCAUUUGGAUGUGUGGCUUUAGUGCAAAGAAAGGUCCCCUUGACAGGAGGAAGUGGGCUCCCAGUCUACCUGGCCACGCUGUGGGUGGAGCAAAGAUGCAGGGGCUUGGAGCUGAGGAGUAUUUUCAGCCACUUGCAAAAGACUCAUUCAAAUGGAGCCCAGAUGGAGGUCCAACCCACACACCUAACGGUGUCUUCUCAUCCCCUCCCAGACCUCUCCAAAAGGGACUGUCCUUUCACAUCACCAACAAGACCAGGAGGAAGCAAGGAGGAGACUGGUUUUGUCCAGGAGGCCACUGCAGGGUAGAAUUUUUUUUUUUUUUUUUGAUACCGGGGAUUGAACUUGGGUCUUUGGGCUUGCAAGGCAGGUGGCAGAACCACUGAGCUAAAUCCGCGGCCUCUGCAGGGUAGAAUUUAAACCCAAGUCAGAAACCUAGCUCCACCCUCCCAGCCAUGUAAUCCUGGGUGAGUCCCUGUAUUUAUUUAAUUCUCUCUCUUAUCCAUCUGUGAAAUGGGGCUAAUACUCCACACCGGAUCAUUAGUAUUAACCAUUUACAACCGAGGACUUCCAGUGGUCAAGGCAGGCAUUGUUCUAGAUGUGGAAUGUACCUUUCUCCGCUGAAUUCCACAGCACACCUGUGGGCAGAUGCUGCUCGUGUGAUAUCACAGAGGACAUGUAGAAACCCGGAUCACAACCAGGAGGUUGCGGUGGAUGGUUUCCUGGGACAUGCUGUGCAGGCGCUUCAUGUAGUCCUCGCUGUACCAGACCCGCAGCCACUCCCCGGGCCGGAUGUCCCUGCACGCCCGGAAGUAGAUGCACUCGCUGUGCUGGAAGGCCAGUAGGUUCUGCUCCCUCUCCUCCCUGGAGAUGACCACGUACCUGAGGGCGAGGAGACAGAAAGAAAAGACAUACACAAACACCAGUUCCAGCAUGCGGUGGCCCUGGUGGUAGCCACUGUGGCCAAAGGCACUGAGAAUCUACUCUGGAGAUGCCCCAGAGACGGCCCUUGCAGGCAUCCUGCCCUGAUCUGAAGAGGCCUUUGCAGAAUAGCCUGACUGGGCCCUGGAGGAGGGUACCGCACUUACAAAGGGGUCCAGAGGGCAGACAUUCUGGCAGCAGAGUACAGCAUAGGCCCUGGAGGAAACACAGACAAGGCAAUGGGACAGCAGACUUCACUCUGGCUGCUUCGCCCCCUCCAGAGAAAUAUGUCACAAGCCCCACCCCGCUGUGAGAAAAGCCCAGUGGUGCUCAGAUCCCCAGAACUUGAGUCUGGUCCAGGUACUUAGCUUCCAAGCAUCGGAGCGCUCCUCAGUAUCUGAUGCAAGCAGGGGUCUCCCCACACUUUGAAAAUGAUCUGGUGACUUCCACGCACCCAGCCAUGAUGUUGUUAGCCAAGAACAUAAGGGAAGGGAAAGAGGGCCCCAGUUCCACAGAAGCCAUGCCAGGUGACUACUACUUCCCUAACUUUCCCACUGCACAAUCGGCCUAUUCCAGCCUCCAAUUUAGUGAGAGAUGGAUUUAACAUCUAAAUAUAUUCAGCCUAGCAUAGCAAGAACUGACAUUGCUACAGACACUCCCAGAUACAAACGGAAGGCAAAGCCUCCGACCCUCUCUGUCCCGGAGAGGAGCUCUGCACUCCCAGAGCAGCAUGGGGGGGAUACCCUUCCCGUCACCCCUCUUCUCAAUUUCUAAACAGCUGCCAAGCUCUAAAAAGGCUGAGCUAUUUUUCCAUCACUCCAUGUUAAGAGGAAAAGAUAGCUGAGGAACAUGUUUACAACGAGGAUUUCUUUCUUUAAAGAAGCAUCAUCUACAGUGUGUCAGAAGGUUUGGAAAGACUUGAGUCAAUUUCCCCUUCCAUCCUUCUACUCCACGAGAGCCAAUAUUUAGAUAGAGCACCCCAAGUCUUUGGAUCGAUCACAAUGUAUUUUCAAAGGCAGACCAAUAAACCUGGCAUUUGAAAUAAGAUAUACAUGGCAACUCUUAGCGAAUCACAACAAACCUUUCCCUUGACGCAAAGUCGACGCUAUGGGAUUUUUGAGUAAAGCGAAAUCAGCCAAAUCCCAACACCAAUGACUUCUAAUUAGGUCUCCUGUUUUAAGUAUUUUGUGGCAACACCUAAUGCCCUGACCGGUUCUCAGAAUCCCGUUGUCCCCAUUUGUGACAAUCUCUUUAUGAAGAGUCAGCCCUGUCCAAUCUUGUGGCCACAGGGAAGCUGGAGCCCUCCCUGAGCAGCACAAGGCUUCCAGGGAGUAGGAAGUCAUGCUCUUCAUCGUGGCUGAGCAGUUGUUCACAAGGAGAUCUGAGUGACCAGGACACCCCCUAGUCGGAGAGAAGGCACAGGAAGCGGGUGGAAAAGGCCCGGCUGAGGCUGUCCCAGAGUUGGCCUAAAUCCCAGCCCCAGACUCGGGCACCUUGGAGAGAAUCAAGGUACUGGGUGAUAGUGGCAGUGAGGGUGACAUUUCUGGGCUGAACUUUUCAUGAAGAUAAGGCACUGUUUUGAUUCCAGCCUCCUGGCCAACCCUGGGUACUAGAUAGGCAAGGAUAAAGACAGUUCUCAGGCCUCACACACUGGGUCUUAUCAGGCACACCAGAUUUUCUAGCUGGAUCAGGAAAUGAUUAUGGGUUCCAACUCUUGAGAAUGAAAAUAAUUCACGGGGCAUCCCCUUGAUUGGGAGUGACCAGGUCCACCCCUCCUGCUCUCCAGUGCACAGGAAGUCAUCCAGGUCACAGAGGCAGAAAUGGGAGAGACAGGCCAAGAAGAAAGGCCCUGGGCUCCGUGUUCUCAUGCACAUGAGGUCUCUGGGCUGGUAGGGACUUUGGGUCAUGCCCCCAUCCAUCCAGUGAACCCCUGGCCUCAGGCCACCCAGCCAGCCUCCCCUUCAAGGCUUCCCUAGGUGAUGCUGGCUUAGGUUUCCCAUCCU
Heterocephalus glaber (naked mole-rat) is the source of this 5833-nucleotide non-coding RNA. NCBI's taxonomy places the organism in Eukaryota, Metazoa, Chordata, Mammalia, Rodentia, Bathyergidae. The record is from RefSeq and is a predicted model, not a curated record.